RNAcentral lists this ribosomal RNA (497 nucleotides) under uncultured bacterium. Its description in RNAcentral is "partial 16S ribosomal RNA". It matches the Rfam family "Bacterial small subunit ribosomal RNA", at positions 28 to 507 of the family's 1533-position model. The record is from RNAcentral.
GAUGAACGCUGGCGGCGUGCCUAAUACAUGCAAGUCGAGCGAACGGACGAGAAGCUUGCUUCUCUGAUGUUAGCGGCGGACGGGUGAGUAACACGUGGAUAACCUACCUAUAAGACUGGGAUAACUUCGGGAAACCGGAGCUAAUACCGGAUAAUAUUUUGAACCGCAUGGUUCAAAAGUGAAAGACGGUCUUGCUGUCACUUAUAGAUGGAUCCGCGCUGCAUUAGCUAGUUGGUAAGGUAACGGCUUACCAAGGCAACGAUGCAUAGCCGACCUGAGAGGGGGGGCGGCCAGCGUGGAACUGGGCCACGGCCCGCACCCCUACGGGAGGCGGAGGGAGGGAUUUUUCGGCAGGGGGAGAAUGCCGAACGGAGCACCGCCGGGGGAGUAAUAAGGUUCUUGGGUUCGAAAAACUUUUUAAUUGGGAAAAAACAUAUGGUUAAGAACCUGUCCACUCCUUGACGGUACCUAAUAAGAAGGCCACGCCAAACCCCGUG